Long non-coding RNA from Teleopsis dalmanni, 820 nucleotides. RefSeq lists it as uncharacterized. The record is from RefSeq and is a predicted model, not a curated record. NCBI's taxonomy places the organism in Eukaryota, Metazoa, Arthropoda, Insecta, Diptera, Diopsidae. The transcript is spliced from 4 exons.
CAAAAGUGGUACUUUCAAAAUUAAGCCCACUAAUUGCUUUUUAAUUAAAUAAAAAGUCUGUUAUCUAAAGUGUUGGAAUUUUCAACGAUUUGUCUGGGUUUCUAAUCGAAACAGUUCUAAUUCAAUAGAAGGCUUCAUUAGAAGACAUUAUUGGCUCAAAAACCUGCUUUUUUAUAUUUGAUUAGAGGAAAGUUCCCAGAUUAAAAUUAACAGAAAUUCAGAGGUUUAUUUUUUAUCUUGAUUUCAAACACGGAAUAAAGAGCAUUGUGAAUUUCACAUUUAUGAUUGGUUGGAUUUCAUAAACAAGGAAAGUGACCUUUGUUUUAAAUUGAAAUUAGCGGGAAAAAUACAGAAACCAGUGCCGGUUCAAAAAUGGAGAACGUACAAAGUCCAGCUGAACAGUUAUAUCACCAGACCGUUAUGGAGUUCAUGAGUGGAUUACCUUGCCAUGACCCUAAAAACUUUUCUUUAUGUGAUAAAACUAAAGGAUUCAUACAGCAGAGGCCGGUCGAUAUGUUGCAAAUCUGCACUGAAGAGAUCACGCCUGCACAGCGUAUUGUACUGGAACCGACUAAUUGUGUUCGUAACGAGAUAAAAAAGAAGAAAAAGAGGAAAAAGAAAAAGACUUAUACUAAUGCUCAUCCAUCUUUAUUCUAUCCAUCGAGAGUACUUAAGAACAAACGUGUUCAAAGAAUGUAAAAUAUUUAUUUACAAUGAAAAUUUUAUUUAAAGUGUAUCUUAUUAAUACAAUUCAACAUGUUAAAUGUUAAAAUUAUAAGCAAUUUAUUUCUAUAGUCAAUAAAGAUUACGUGAUAUAAUA